UACGUAGGGCGCAAGCGUUGUCCGGAAUUAUUGGGCGUAAAGAGCUCGUAGGCGGCUUGUCGCGUCUGUUGUGAAAGCCCGGGGCUUAACCCCGGGUCUGCAGUGGAUACGGGCAGGCUAGAGGCAGGUAGGGGAGAACGGAAUUCCCGGUGUAGCGGUGAAAUGCGCAGAUAUCAGGAGGAACACCGGUGGCGAAGGCGGGUCUCUGGGCCGAUACUGACGCUGAGGAGCGAAAGCGUGGGGAGCGAACAGG
This 253-nucleotide ribosomal RNA is filed under the name uncultured bacterium. Its description in RNAcentral is "partial 16S ribosomal RNA". It matches the Rfam family "Bacterial small subunit ribosomal RNA", at positions 524 to 776 of the family's 1533-position model. The record is from RNAcentral.